CAAAAGUGAGAGCAGUCAGGCAUUUGGGGACUGCACCACAGCUGGGCAGGGCCCAGCCCUUCAGUCCCAGCCAGUGGAGGUUUACUUUGCCAUUCAGGGCCUCUGACUUGUGGGCUGGCAGUGGUAGGGAAAAUUCCUAGGAAAAAAAGGAAGGGGGACCUGUCUAGGGCAGGGUAAGUGCAUCUGACUUGGAGUCACAUGGGCCUGAGGUUCAAGUCUCUGCAGGACCAUGUGACCUUGGGAAGACUCCUUCACCUUGGUUUCUUCAUCUGUAAAAUGGGAGUAAUAAUAGUACCUACUCGUCAGAGCUGUAACAAGUCUUAAAUGAGGCCAUGCAUGAAGAAGGGCUGAGCCUUUGGCCUUUAGAAGCAAAUUUCCCUUCUGUGAAAUCUCCAGGUCAGGAGAGGCAUCUUUCUCUCCAUAUUAGGGCUGUCACUUAUGCAGUGGGGGGUGGAGUGGUGUGUCUCUGGUUGCAAAAUUGAGAUGUAGACCCCAUGAAUGCCUGGCAGCAAGGCCCUGGUUCUAACCACUGGGGAACACUGCCCCCUUGGGCCUGCUCCAUCCACUACGAGGCGCGCAUGCGCAGGGCAGGGAGCCUGGGGAGCAUUUGAUUCAGGAGGCUGCUCACCUUUCUGGAUUUUAUAAUCUCUGAUCUUAUGGUCACCUGAGGCUGGAAUUUUUCUAACUCUGGCAUACUGCAGCCUGAACCAGGAGAAGCAGGAGACUCUGGGGAUGGAGACAGAGCCGGGGAACUGGGAAUAGGCCAUGACUGAGCCAAGAACCUGCCUGCCAGUGCAGCAGAUGUAAGAGACAUGGGUUCUUUCCUUGGGUCUGGAAAACCUCCUGGAGAAAGGCAUGCAAGCCACUCCAGUACUCUUGCCUGGAGAAUCCCAUGGACAGAGGAGCCUGGUGUGCUACAGUUCAUGGGGUGGCAAAGAGUCGGACACACCUGAACAACUGAACUGAACUGAAGCUACUUCGCAUGGAUGCACACAUGAGCCUGGGCAACAGUGACAUCCCAAAGGACUCAAAGUCUUCCAAAGAGGUGCUGCUUCACCUCAUGGUUUGCUUAGGAUUUCUCCUGGGUUAACUGAUGAGAGAACUGAGUUCUCAGCUCAGAGCUGCCCCUCUCUAGCCAGCUGACCUCACACCAGUCCCUCUUCCUCUCUGAGCCUCAGUUUCCUCAUCUGUGAAAUGGGGAUAAGAAUACUUCCAACUGCAAGGAUUACAAGAUGUGGUGUGCACAGAGUGCCUGGUGAACACUACCCGUUGUUCAAACCGUGUGGCUGUCUGGGGAUGAAAGGUGGUGUCUUAGGAGGGCAGGAAGUGUGUGAGUAGAUGUGGGGAGUCCUGCCAGGGCAAGAGUUGAGCCUCCAAGGACCUCGCCUCACAGAUGUAGUGCCUUGGGGUAGGGCUGGGAACCCCAGCUUCGGUACUCUCCCAGAUCAGGACAGGUCAGAGGGAGGUCAGGGGCCCUGGGCGUGCAGAGAAGAGCAGGGAGCAGAGGUUCUCAGGCAGGUGAAAGGGAAAGGAGGGAGGAAGUGGGGGCUUCUGGGAGGAGACAGGAGUGGCGGUCGCUGUGUGCUGCUGGCCACACGGUCACCGUGAGGCCCCAGACCAUGAUCUCCUUUGUCCUACAUUACCGGCUUUCAAGUGAGGCCUUUCCCCAGUGGGGAAACCAAGGCUCCAAAAGGCGAGAUCACUUGCCUAGGCACUGCAGGCUCCCCAAUCUGUCUGGCUCUGCAGCCCGGACUCUCCAACAGUCACAGCCACUUUCUUAUCUUAUCUGCCUGACGAGGUUGUGAGUGAAGCAGCGUGAUCUCAGAGGUGCAGAGGGAUCCUGGGCCCUGCUGCUGUCUCCUAGGACCCCGAGCUCUAGGCUGCCAGCUGUUCAGGAGAUAUUGCCGGGAGACCCUGGGGGCUGGGAGCCCAGGUGGGGCCCAAAGCAUUUGCUCUGAGUGAGAGCAGAGACCCCUGGAGUAAAGGGGAGUGAGCCUGCCAUCUCAGGAGGGUUCCAGUAAAGAUACCCCAACAGCAGGGGAAGCUGGAGGCGUCGCUCAUAACAGGGCCAAAACUAGCCAAUGUAUUUCUGAAAUUCCUUCUUCUUGUCUUAAAAAUUCAUAUAGAUUUGUAUCCUGUUAAAAAGGUGGGCUCCCCCACUCCAUGCACAAUUAAAAAAAAAUCAGUUUCUACUCUCAGUUUCUACCUGCGUGGACACACCAGGAAGACGUGAUGUCUUCAGUGACUGCGUGUAUCUGGGGCCUGCCCUGUGGACCCCAGGCCCUGGGCCCCUGGUCUGGUUUGAGAAAGUGCAGGGACAGAGUUGAGGUCACAGUCCUGCCUGUUGUCACAGUCUAGGGCUCUCCCCACCUCCACUCCGUGCUCCUGCCUCUUGCUUUGACUCUCCCGUCUCCUUUCAUAGACGUUUGUCCAGCCCAGCCCAGCCCAGCCGUCCCACUGGGACUUCUCAGAUGCUUCCCGCCCGCCCCUUCACGCCCUGAGGGUCCUUGUCCAGAGGGUCCCUACCCAUCUUCAGCUGUCUAUGUAGGGCAGUCUAAGCCCUUGCCUCCUCAGACGAACAGCCUUGUUGAAUCUUCCCGUGCCCAUUUGGAGGAAACUGAGGCCCAGUGCUGAGAGAGCCUGGGCCUUCAGGGUUCCCAGGGGACCUCCGGGCAGGUGGGGUACCUCGGCCUAGGGGAAAAGACACCCUAUCUGGGCCCCCACCCCCUGCCAGGGAUGCAGGGAGGAGGAGGGAAAGCCGUGGGGUGCCGGGGGCUGCCGCCUGGCAGGUCCCUAUGCCCAGGGUAGGGAAGUUUCUUAUUUCUCCUGCUCCGACUUCCCCCUUUGAUUUAUUAUAGCCAUGAAAUGCUCUGCUCUCUUCUCUUUUCCUUGCUGUCCGCGGGGCUGGAGCAGUGCAGGCCCUGCGGGACUCCCAUCUCCUUCCAAAGGGUGAGCCCCGGCGCGGGGAGCCGUAAAGGAGAGGUGAGUCGAAGCAGGUAGGGCGGACGAGGAGAGGCCCCGACUCCCACCCCUGCUCCCGGCCCCCCCAAGGCUGGCCCGGGGGCAGGACCCCAGGGGCGGGCUCUGUCUCGGUCGGUCGGGAAGGGCUGGGGCCGGGCCGAGAGGGUGUGGCAGGUGUGGACUUGACGGCAGACAGCUCCCAGGGGCUGUGGGGGUGGCGGGCUCUGAGGCCGCGGCCUCGGGAGGCUGGCGGAUGGAGCCCGGUCAAGUCGAAGGCCGUCAAAUAGUCCUCCCGCGCUAACCCUUAGGCCGGAGAGGUGGCUUCUCUGUGACCCCUGACCCCAUAUUCUGAUUUCUCGAUGGCCAGAGGGGCCCUGGUUCAGCCGCCUCUGGGGGAUGAGGCUGAGCACCCAGAGGAAGGCGGGAGGCCCGAAGCCCAGGCCUCGGGCUUCUCGAGGCCAACCCCCUGCCCCCGUUGGACAUCGGCCCGAGGCCGGGGCCAGGCAGGUGAGGGCUGAAGUCCGACGGCCCGGCCCCCGGGGCGGACCUGGCGGCGGAGCAUCCCGGGCCGCCGCGGUGUGGUGCCUGUGGUAACGGGGCUGUUGGCAUUUUGCAAUGGCCCGGGGGCGGGGAGGCUGCGCACACACGCUUCCUGUGGUGACUGGGCGCUUCCUGUUUUCUCAGGCGCCGGACUUGCUGCUGCCGAUGUGGAAACAGGGGCAGCUGCAGCCGGGGUGGCUCCAGGCAGGGCGGCCCGCCGACCCUGCCCAGAGGGGCCUGAGUGGGCCCGCGCCCCAGGCCCCGACCCGGGCAGUAGAUGGCCCGAGUUACCCCCCAACCCAAGGGCCCCCAUGCCUCCCAUCCCCAACAGCUUCUGCCAAGAGGAAGGGGCCAGGCAGGGCUGCCCGAGGCCGAGCAGGUGGUCCAGAGGGUCCGAGGUCCAGGGAUGGGAGCUCUGGUCCCAGCUCUGUCCUUUGUUCUCUGAGUGCCUCUGGCCAUCCCUGACCCACCCCAGGCCUUGGUUUUCCUCUUUCACGUGAGGUGAUCAUGGUACUCGGAGUCUAAAAUCCCUCACCCAUUUCAGGCCCAUUUCUGACCUUCCUUGAUAUUUUCCAUCCCAAGAGCCUCAGCUUUGAGGACAAGAUGGGCCCUGAGACUGGGACCCUCCGAGGUGGGGCUUGGCAUAGGCCUCGACAGAGAGGGGUUUGGAGAGACUGGGGGCAGGGGAGAGCACAGCUGCUGGGGGAACCAGACUUCCAAUUGAGGUGUGGAGGCCAGGAAAGGCCAGCACCAGGUUAGGGAGACAGGCUGUGGAUGGGACAGACCGAGAAUGGUGGCAGACAAGGUUGACUCGGAAGGAUUCCGAGCGGGAGAAAGAUCUCCGGAUCCUCUGUAUCCCUACAAAUGUUAGGAAAGGGUCUGUACACCCUCACAUUGUUUCUCAGGAGAAAGACGAGUAGGGCUAGGGGCAGGGCCAGCCUUUCCCAUCUGUCCGGCAAGGAGGUGGGUGCCUGUGUGGUGUGACAUGUGGGCCUCGGGAGGGCCCAGAGCCUUCUCCAGGCAUCAGGUGCCUGGAGGUUCCACCACCAGGCCAGGCGUCGGGAACUUGGCAUUGCCUUUUCCCCGAAUGUGUUUUGUUUUGUUUUCAAGCUGCUCUUGCAAGAAGGGGAGGGCAGAUGACUUGGCUGCUUGUGGAGAUUGCUGACAGCAUCUGACGUCUGGAGGAAGAAUUUCUUUGCAGGAAGGCCGAGGCUUGGGUGCCCCUGGGGGAACUGACCGGUCCACUGACUGAGUUCAGCCACCCCACUCAGCCCAGGAGGUUCUGAGGGACCCACUUCCUAAGUGGCUUCUCCUCAGUCUCAAGGCCUGUCCAUCACGGACGGCCAAGGACUGGUUCCAACCAGAGAGGCCUCCAGGAUCCCAAGACCCUGGUGCUCAGCCUGAGGGGCUGGGAAGCCGGCCUGGCCGCUGCCAUCAGGUCCCCUGCCUUGGUGCCUGGGGUCAGCUCAAGUGCUGAGUUGGCGGCUCCGCAGCUGCUCUUCUGCCCACGGAGGCCCAGUUAUAAAUAAGCCCAGUGUUGGCCAAGUCAUCAAGUUCUAUCCCAGCUGUAUUACCUCAGUGACCACAGGUUGGGGCUGCCCAGAACUGGGCCCGCCAGAACCUGCCCAUCAAGGCCAAAGGCCGGGCCAGCCUCGAUGCUUACAGUGGGGGGUCCUCAAACCCAGGGCGGGGGCCUGUGCAGCUCAGACCUGGACCUGCCUGGACACGGGCCACAGAAGGGGCAGGACCCAUCCCGCCUGCAUGGAGCCAGCAGCUAUUUACAAACCGAAACCUGGAGAAGCGAAGUGGCUGCGGCCAGAGUGGCUCCAGGCCCCCCGGCCCCCACUCCAUCCCCCGCGGCCCCCUCCCCCGCUCCACACGGCUUCCUCUUUCCUUCCCCACAUAGCUCCCCAACCUCCCACUGCCCCGGCCAGCUCUCUCUGGACAACCUGCCAGGACCUCACAGUGACCCCCACACGCCCCGUCCCCGGCCCCUCAGCCACUUUGCUUGGAGGUUGGGGGGUCCCCUUCAACUCCUCACCCCCGCCCAGGACCCCAUGAGCCUGGGCUUCUUGGAGCAGCCCCCUCCCACCGGGGCCCGGCCCACUCUGGCCUGCCCGAAGCACAUUCCCACAGUUCUCAGUUCCCCUUCGUGACUGGAAAAGCUCCAGCCCUGAUGGCCGCCAUGACGCUGCUCGGCCCUGCCCUAGGGUAGCCGCUCCAGCAGCUCCUUGACCUUUCCCAGGGGGGAAUGGUGGGGGCAAGGAAUCUGGGGUGCUGCGGUGGGCCUGGGGGCACCCGGGGCCUUCCAGGGGGCUUGUUUCUGGGUGGGAGGCCCCAGCCAUCUACUGUCUUUGAGAUGGGCUUCAGCCCCCUCAUCCAGCUGGUCUGGGUCACAGGCCCUCUUGCGGGGCAGAGUUGAGCUGGGACAGAUGGACGCUGGGCCUGAGACCACGGCUCACGCUGCUUGGGAACCACAGGCAGGACUGGCGCUGCAGCAGGGGAUUGUUCUAGGAAGAGACAGAAGACAGCACAAGGAACACUCGUUUCAAAUCAUGAACAAGCUCUCUCACGAUGGCGCAGAGCGGGUCGGUUCUUUUCAUCCCCAGAUAGAGCCUGUCCCACCGUCUCCAUCAGAAAUGGAUGCUGGGGCGCAGAGGGCAAGGAGCGUGUCCCAGGCUACACAGUGGGCAAGUGUCUGGACCGGGAGUCAGGGUUUCCCGACACCCAGUCCCCUCGUCUGUCCAUCUGACUAGCCCUGGCUCCAUCUCAUCCGCCCGUCUCCUUCCCAGGGAGGACACAAGUUUCCCAGCCCCGGGGACAAGGCAGGAAGCCAGGCUGUCCCGAAGCUUGAGGGGGACGCAGGCCUUGGACCCUGAAGCUGCCAGACCUGGUCGUCAGUGGCCCAGGUCCCCCUCCACGGCCUCAGGAGAAGGCUCUGCCUGCCCCACUCCAUGCCUCCCACCAAGUCCCAGCUGAAGCAGAGCCCUGGCUCCCACACCCCCUCAGCCGCAGCCAGCGGCCACGUUCCGCCUGACUUCUCUGAACGUCAGAAUCCUCUUCCGUGGAUUGUAAGUGCUCAAACACAGCAGGCAGAAACUGUCUCUGGAGCCGGGACAUGGCGCCUGCCCACAGUCCUGUGCGGGAGGCAGAUGAGUGUUAAGAUGCUGAGGACUCUGGAAGGGAGACUGAGGCUGGGGGACCCCAGGAGAAGGCAACGGGUGCUUCCCGGGGUAAGGAGGGGUCCCUCAGGUGGGAUAGGAAAGAGGUCCCCAACAAAAGCCCGGGGGGACGGGCUCUCCAUGCUGAGUCCCACCCCUGGGCCUGGGCUCUAGGGCUUCCCACAGUUCAAGUCAAGUUCCUUUUCUUCCUCUGGGCCCAGUGAGCUCCUAUUCAUCUGUCAAGGCCCAUGGACACACCACAGAAUGACCAGGCCUGGCCUGGCUUCAUGGCUCCUUGCCUCCUUCUUCCCACCCGGAAGCCAGGCCUCCUUGGUCGCGACGCCCUCGCCAGCCCCACCCAGGCAGGCAUCUGCUCCCGGGCUGGAGCCCCCGCCAUCCUCUGCUCCGAAAAGCACCGUUUCCCUUUUCUGGGUGACCACACGCCAUGCACAGGGAAUUUCCAUCUCAGCCUGCGGAGCCUCUGAUUCACCCAGGCCCCUUAUGCAUUUAACUCCUUCCGGGUCCAGGCCUGUCGACUCCAUGCCCCUCGCACUUGCCCGGGGACCCCUAGCUUCAAACUAGCCUGGAAUCCCACAGCCUGGAAAUCAAGUCAGCGCCUCACUCACCGGCCCCCUCAGCACCCUCCCACUCACGCACCGGGCACAGAGACCCCUGACCUGCUGGCUCCCGGCACACACACUGGGGCAGCUUUGGGCUGAGAGCACAGACUGUGGAGUAAGAUAAGCCCGGUCCGACCCUGAUUCUGGCUGUUUCUGCUUUCCGCCCUGAAGCGGUAUAAGGGUUGGCUCUGAGGCCCAUUUCUCAUCUAUUAAAAUCGAUCCCUGUGCCAUCGCUUUGUUGUAAAUGUCUAGCGCGCUGGCCCACGACGGGAGCUUGGUAUUGAUUACCCUCUUCCUACCACAGCAUCCCUACUCCAGACCUGGGGCCCCUCGGUCUUCUCCCGAGAGCUGGUUGCUCAGGCAGGGAGGAGGGGAGAAGGGCAGGCAGGGCAAAGGAGGGUGAGAGGCUGCUGUCUCAAGGCUCUCAUCUGACAGCUUCUUGGCUCCUCACAUUGCUCAGCUUUUCCAAGGAGUCUUUGGAAAGGCCAGGGGGCGGGAGCUUCCAAGGAACUGAGGGCCACAGAGAUCCUGAGCCCUUGGAGACAGGGCCGAGCCUUCCUCCUCCAGAGGGAGGCUGGGUGUGCGCAUCAGAUAGAAACAUAUCCAGUGCAGUCUCUAAUUCUCUCAGCCCCCUGGGGUGUAUCCUGCUGUUGCCCCCAUUUUACAGAUGACAAUACCGAGGCUCUGAGAAGUGACUUGCCCUCAGCCACACGGCAAACACAGGGCAGGGAUAGGAUUCGAAAUCAAGGUCUCUAGAGCCAUACUUUAACCUCCACAAGGGUCACUCAGCAUUUGCGGAGGCCAGUGAGGGAAACACGCACUAAUUGAAAGCCUACUGUAUACAAGGGAGAGGCUCACACAGAUUGUCUCUUUCUGCCCUCUGGACCAUGCUGCAGCUGAGUCUUGUUGGCAUCUCUACAGAAUCGAGGCCUCUGAGCUUCAGAGAGGGGAAGGGGCUACACAGCCAGUGGUAGGGAAGGAUCCAGGGGUGCCUAGAUAGGAGAGGAUGGUGUCGGGGGCUCCACAGAAGAGGGGGGGCCUUGCAGAGUGGGGGGGAGUGGCUCCUGUCCUCACUGAGCGAGCAGGGCGGGUGCUGCCCGUGGUGAGCAGGAGGAAGUCGCUGUGGGUGGCGGUGGGUUUGAGGUGCCGGAGGCUGAGUGAUGUGGCCAGGAGUAUGAUUUGUAAUAGCAGAAAACUGGAAAUGACCUGAAUAUCCAUCAGUAAGAGACUGGUUAAAUAGCUUUUCGCAACAAUGGAAGGCUAUACGGCGAUGAAAAUGGACCACAGCUACGUGCAACAAGAAUGUUUACACCAUGAUUCUCUUCAUAUAAAGAUUAAAAUCUGUUAAGGUAAAAACUAAACUAUAUUGUUAGAGAUGUUUACUUAAGUGGGAAAGCUGUAAAGAAAACAGGGAAAUAAUUACUGGAAAAGUUAGGAUAGUCUUCCUUCUAGAGAGAGGCAGGACAUUUGGGGGAAGCUUCUGGAGUGCUGACAGUGUUCUAUUUCUUGACCUGGAUGGUGGUUACAUACGUGUGCGCUUUAUAAUUAUCUUUUAAAUUGUACGUAAAUGUUUCCUGCAGUUUUUUGAAUGAAUGAGGUCUCUCAGGAUGUGAAGAUACCACAGUUUACCCAAACAGUAGAAUACUAUAUGGUCAUUAAAAAGAACAAGACGGCUCUAUAUGCAUGGGCACGGGCAUGGAUUUAGUGGGGAAAAACAACCAAAGUGAAGUAUGGUGUGUUUGGUGUGCUACUUGCGGUGUGAAAUUAGAAAAAGAAUUUAUCUGCCUCUGUGCUUCUGUCUGCUAGACUUCCUCCAGAAAAAAUAUCCAAGAAUCAGGUAACAGGGAAGAGAACCAUUUCCCCUUUUGUUACCUUUUGAAUUUCAUACCAUGUGUAUCUAUUACCUAUUCAAAUAUUAACGUAAUUUAAAAAACUGUUUCAGGGAUUUCCCUGGUGGUCCAGUGGUUAAGAGUCUGCCUUCCAAUGCAGGGGACACAAGUUCAAUCCCCGGUUGGGGAGCUGAGAUCCUGCAUGAUGCCGUGGGGCAGCUGAGCCCACACAGCACAAUUAGAGAGUCCACAUGCCUCAGCAGAGACCCAGCACAGCCAAAAAUAAAUAACAAAUAAAAAGAUAAAAA
Bubalus bubalis (water buffalo) is the source of this 9419-nucleotide long non-coding RNA. RefSeq lists it as uncharacterized. NCBI's taxonomy places the organism in Eukaryota, Metazoa, Chordata, Mammalia, Artiodactyla, Bovidae. The record is from RefSeq and is a predicted model, not a curated record. The transcript has 2 exons.